Molecule: unclassified non-coding RNA, 341 nt
Filed under: plant metagenome
Description: partial contains 5.8S ribosomal RNA, internal transcribed spacer 2, and large subunit ribosomal RNA
Rfam family: 5.8S ribosomal RNA (bases 1-103)
Source: RNAcentral
GAAGUGCGAUAAGCAAUGCGAAUUGCAGAACCGUGAGUUAUCAGAUUUUUGAACGCAACUGGCGCCGACUGGCUCUCCAGUCGGCAUGCUUGUUUCAGUGUCUCUUUAUCUCAUCACCCAGAUCAUAAUGCGAGAGAUACCCUUCUCUUGCUAAGCAUGAAAGCACUCUGCGCUCUGCGAGCGACUUUGACUAGUUCGAGGUCGCACUCAAUGCAGCAGUCACAUUGCUCACAAUGUGAACUCAUUGAGAGCUGAGGCAGUGCGGUGCAAACCGCCAGUGCUUAGUCACACAAACUUUCUUUGCAUCUGAAAUCAAGCAGGAUCACCCGCUGAACUUAAGC